AGCAUAUUCUUACGCAUUGAAUAGGUAAAAACAAAUAGUUGGUAUGGCCUCUCGCAUCGUGCACAUUUGUCAAUGCCACAGCGCCACAUUUAAUAUGUGAAAAUUUCAUAAAGAUCAUUUCUAGGGAAAGUUCGGGUUAUCUGCUAGUCAGGCGCUCUUAUUUCAUAUUUCGUACUUAUUCCUUAUGUAUACUCAAAGAUUAUUUCAAAAGUACUCAAAGUAUGUGCACCUUGCCUUUAUUCACAAUGCGAGUUAGUCGCGUAUUCGACAUGUUUCAAGAAUAUAUCUCCACUUCAUGCUUAGCAUACACAUACAUAUAUGCUAUGUACAUGUGUGCAUAUGUGUGUGUGCGUGUAUGGGGGAGUGUAUUGGGAAACUACAUAAGUGUAUUCAUAUCCAGUGUUUGAUCAGCACGUGCUAGGCGUGUAUUGAAAUAUCUUCAGUAUCUUGCAAAUUCAAUUUAAAGCAAUCAAAUCAUCGAAUAUAAUCGAAUUGUGUGCGAUUUAUGAAUAAAGAGAAUGAUUUCUACCACAAAUUGACACCAAAUAAAACAUAAAUUUCUCUUCUAACAAAGUUAGCAGUCAAAGUUAGCUUUGCUGCAAACAAAAACGAUUUAGCUCGGAUUUUUGAAAAUCCCAUCACGUCGCAAUAUAGCACCCACAGCUCCUGAUGACUCUGCUCUGUGUGGCUCCUCGUGCAGCAGUCACAUCAUCGCCGGGCCACCGUGCCACCGUGCCACCGUGCCACCAUAUGGUGGGUGGGUGUGUAAGGCGAUGAGGGGAUUGCGGGCGGGGUGCAGAGUCGCCGGCAGCUACAAUUCAUGUGCGAGAUGAAAACUCAUCCGAGCGUAUGAUUUAUCAUCAAUGGUCUGCGAUUGCAAUUUUAAUUUAUGACAUCAAUAGCGAAGUUGUUUGGCCGGCAGCGUGUUAAUGGACACUAUUGUUACUGAACGUGGAUGUGUGUAUUUUACUGUUGUAUUUCGCCCUUCAAAGCGAAUUCAUACUUUGUCAAUAAGCUUACAGUGGUGACCCUUGUCCUGAAAGAGACUUGAAUCUUGGAGAGUAUUCUAUACUGCACGUCUGCGUCACAAAACACGAAAAUCAUCAUUUUUGCAAAGAGAACACCUUUGACAUCCUCAAGAGAUAAGCCAAAAACUUUUGCGGUCACGCCAAACAGGUAGGAGCCAGACCCCUCAAUUUUGGAUAACAAAUCGAACAAGCAACACAGAAGUCGUUAUCCUGUCAUUGGCCGUUAGAAUGCGUGGCAAAAAGGACGAUAAUCCUUGAAGGAGCUGAGGAAAAUAGAUUUUUGUCUAUAGAGAUAAAAUGCUGUAGAUCGGCCGUUUCCUUGCCAGUCAUGAUGUCUAUUUGCCAAACACUGCCAAAUCAAGGACUACACGGAGCUCUAAGGACCUUCACGACUGACAAAGCAAAUAUUUCCAGGAUCGGACUUUAAUUAAGCCAAAUAUAGAUAUUUUUAGCUCAUAUAAGCAUCAAAUUUAAUUUAUACUCGUUUUACAUAAUUUUAAGUGAAAUAAUUAAGAAAAUUAGCAUAUAAAAUAAACAAUUUUGUAAAUUUAAGCGUAAAUAAAUCGAUUGCUUCAAAUACAGAGAGAAA
This is a non-coding RNA of Drosophila virilis, 1617 nucleotides long. NCBI's taxonomy places the organism in Eukaryota, Metazoa, Arthropoda, Insecta, Diptera, Drosophilidae. The record is from RefSeq and is a predicted model, not a curated record.